Scylla paramamosain (green mud crab) is the source of this 1247-nucleotide long non-coding RNA. RefSeq lists it as uncharacterized. The record is from RefSeq and is a predicted model, not a curated record. The transcript is spliced from 2 exons. Lineage: Eukaryota; Metazoa; Arthropoda; Malacostraca; Decapoda; Portunidae.
CUCGAGCAUUGGUCCCUUCACCCCAUUUAAAGACAGCUGAUUUCUUCAUCUCAGAUUCUGAAUCCUGAUCCAUUUCUUUCACAUAAUCCUGUACGGGUAGCUGGAGUCAGUUCCAGUCAGUUCCAGUCAGUUCCAGAGAAAGAGAGAGCACAUCAGUUCAGUUCAGUCCAUCAGAGAGUUCAGAUCAGAGAGAGAGUCAGUCUUGAGAGAGAGAAUCAAGCAUCGUCACCGUCGUAACUGUCUCGGUAUCACGCGUGUACAUCUCUGUUCACCAUUAAAUCAAGAAGUUCUAUCAAUCCUUUGUGUUGCCUUUACUCGCACAAUCAGCCAUAAUCUCAACCACUAUCCGCGCACUCCACGCUAACAGUUUCAUCGGAGAAUCAACGAGCCACCACCGCCUAUCCUGCCGCCAUCACCUCCACCAGCAUCUAAUCCGCUUUUAGGCAUCAGGGAAGGAAGGAAGGAAAGAAGGAAGGAAGGAAGGAAGGAAGGAAGGAAGGAAGGAAGGAAGGAUAGAAGGAAGGAAGGAAGGGAGGGAGGAAAGAAGAAACGCGACAGGAAGCAACAAAACGUAAACAAAUGAGGAAUUGAGGCAAGGGAGUGAAGGAGGGAGAUGAGGAAGAUAAAGAAGAGAGGAGAGGAGAGAAUGGAAAGCAGUAAAGAAGGAAAGAUAAAAGAAUGGAGAAAAAAGAAUCGAGGUGAAGGAGAGAAGGAUAUGAAAAGAAAGGAGACACGAAGAGAAAAAGGAAGGAGAAAGGAAGAAAGGAAAGAAGAGAGGAAAAGAAUAGAAAUAAGGUGUAGGAAUGAAAAAAGAGAUAGGGGUGUCUUAAUGAAUGGAGGGAAGAGAAAUAGAGAAGGAAAGCAAGGAAGGACAGGGAAGAAAGAGAAGAAAGUAGGAAAGGAGGAAAGAAGAGAAGGAAGAAGAAAACUGAAAGAAAAAUGGAAAAAAAGGGCAGGAGAAGAGAACAAAUUAAAAGGAAAGGAAAGAUAUAAGAAAAGAUGACGAAAAAAGAAGAAAGAAAAGAAGAAAGAAGAGGAGGAAAGUAGGUAGAAAAGAAGAGAAGAAAGAAGGAAACUAAUAAUGAAAGAAAAGAAGAAAGAAGGGCAGGAAAAGAAAGCAAACGAAAAAGUAAGGAAAAAAACACAUGAAAAGAAGGGAAAGAAACAGAGAAAAGAAACGAGGAAAGAAGAAAAUAAAAGAAAAAAGGAGAGGAAAGCAGAAAGGAACAAACAAUCGAACAAGAAAG